GGAGACAAGAGAGCGAGUGGCAUGCUUUUACCAUCAAAGCUGGUUUGUCAUAGGGCUUCGACUAUCACAGCCAGCUUUGAUGAGCAAAAUUGUGUCCGGCAU
Non-coding RNA from Nasonia vitripennis (jewel wasp), 102 nucleotides. The record is from RefSeq and is marked provisional. Lineage: Eukaryota; Metazoa; Arthropoda; Insecta; Hymenoptera; Pteromalidae.